AUUGAACGCUGGCGGCAGGCCUAACACAUGCAAGUCGAACGAGCGGCGGACGGGUGAGUAAUGUCUGGGAAACUGCCUGAUUGAGGGGGAUAACUACUGGAAACGGUAGCUAAUACCGCAUACCAUCGGAUGUGCCCAGAUGGGAUUAGCUAGUAGGCGGGGUAACGGCUCACCUAGGCGACGAUCCCUAGCUGGGCUGAGAGGAUGACCAGCCACACUGGAACUGGGACACGGUCCAGACUCCUACGGGAGGCAGCAGUGGGGAAUAUUGCACAAUGGGCGCAAGCCUGAUGCAGCCAUGCCGCGUGUAUGAAGAAGGCCUUCGGGUUGUAAAGCACUUUCAGCGGGGAGGCGUUACUCGCAGAAGAAGCACCGGCUAACUCCGUGCCAGCCGCCGCGGUAAUUC
Molecule: ribosomal RNA, 406 nt
Filed under: uncultured bacterium
Lineage: Bacteria
Description: partial 16S ribosomal RNA
Rfam family: Bacterial small subunit ribosomal RNA
Source: RNAcentral